RNAcentral lists this ribosomal RNA (497 nucleotides) under uncultured bacterium. RNAcentral's name for it is "partial 16S ribosomal RNA". It matches the Rfam family "Bacterial small subunit ribosomal RNA", at positions 28 to 507 of the family's 1533-position model. The record is from RNAcentral.
GAUGAACGCUGGCGGCGUGCCUAAUACAUGCAAGUCGAGCGAACAGACAGGCAGCUUCCUCCUCUUACGUUCGCGGCGGACGGGCGGGUAACACGUGCAUCACAAACCUAUAAACCUUGGAUAACAUCGGUAAACCGGUGCUAAUACCAGAUCAUAUAGUGAACCGCAUAGUGCAAUAGUUCAAUGCGGUUUUGCUGUCACUAAUAGCUGGAGCCGGGCCGCCUUAGCUAGUUGGUAAGGUAACGGCUUACCAAGGCAACGAUGCGUAGCCGACCUGAGAGGGUGAUCGGCCACACUGGAACUGAGACACGGUCCAGACUCCUACGGGAGGCAGCAGUGGGGAAUCUUGCGCAAUGGGCGCAAGCCUGACGGAGCAACGCCGCGUGAGUGAUGAAGGUCUUCGGAUCGUAAAACUCUGUUAUUAGGGAAGAACAAAUGUGUAAGUAACUAUGCACGUCUUGACGGUACCUAAUCAGAAAGCAACGGCUAACUACGUG